Sciurus vulgaris (Eurasian red squirrel) is the source of this 106-nucleotide small nuclear RNA. The record is from Ensembl. Lineage: Eukaryota; Metazoa; Chordata; Mammalia; Rodentia; Sciuridae.
GUGCUCACUUUGGCAGCACACUUAAUAAAAUUGGAACAAUAUAGAGAAGAUUAGCUUGGUCCUUGCGCAAGGAUGACUUACAAUUUGUGAAGCCUUCCAUAUUGAA